This 206-nucleotide long non-coding RNA is filed under the name Carica papaya (papaya). RNAcentral describes it as "long non-coding RNA (CPAP_LNC006094)". Lineage: Eukaryota; Viridiplantae; Streptophyta; Magnoliopsida; Brassicales; Caricaceae. The record is from RNAcentral.
UCAUAAUUCAAAAAUAAUUGAGAUCCAUUUUUUAUGUUGUGACUUGGGCUUGCUAGAAAUAACAAAGUCUUCAAUAAUAAAAGUUUGAGCGUCUUGGAGAUUGUUGUCCUGGUGUGUAUCAAACUUGUUCAGUAGAUAAAAACUUUUCACAAGGAUCUUUAGGCUAGCUACAUUCUCAUGAUGUUGUUCAUGGGGGAAAGUAAUUG